This 26-nucleotide non-coding RNA is filed under the name Homo sapiens (human). The record is from RNAcentral. Lineage: Eukaryota; Metazoa; Chordata; Mammalia; Primates; Hominidae.
UCCAUGUGGCUUCUUGACUCUGCGUG